This is a non-coding RNA of Camellia sinensis, 1132 nucleotides long. The record is from RefSeq and is a predicted model, not a curated record. Lineage: Eukaryota; Viridiplantae; Streptophyta; Magnoliopsida; Ericales; Theaceae.
GUGAAUUGUAUAUGGAAAAAAAAGAAAAAGAAGCGGCGAAAUGAAACACUAGGAUGUAUGUAUAUUCCUGUGGAUGCAUCCAUAUCAGAUCUGAAGGGAGAAAUUCCCACUCCAACUUGAUCGUGUUCUUCAUCGUGCCUUAUAACCCGGUCCUGACUUUGCAUGCCCUCUUGCAGAGACACACUCUUCGACCAUCUCAUUUGUGAAGGAGGUUCUUGGGCUUUGGCUUGAAGUGUUUUCCUCCUUUUGCUCUUAGCCUUGGCAUCCUUUUCAACAUUUUCUUGAACAGAGACCUGACGCAGUUCAUCUUUGUCCUAAUUUUUCUCUCCAUUUCUGUUCAAAUCUGACUUGCAAGGAACGUGUGCCAAUGCAGACAUAUACGAUCAACUGAUAAUGGUGUUGGAUGGGGUGUUAUUUGGGGAUUCAUAUCUUUUUUGUUUCUUUGUGGAUCCAUGCACCUUGGCCUUGUGAUCUUGUCUUGAGGUAUGAUGUCCUUAUUUAUCAUUUUUUUAGUAAAGAUAUGUGGGUAUGUUUUUUUCUAAAAAUAUUUUUGUCUAGGAUAAUGCUGGAAAAGGAAAGUUACUUCUUCAAUGUGAAGGAUGAGAAACAUACUUAGCAAUGAAGCUUGAGUGAUGAUUAGAGGAUCAAUCUGCUCCAGUCCUUCAUUCUUGAUCAUCUUGAUGGCAUUUAAAACUGCUCUAAUAGGCAGCACUGCCAGAUCUAUUGAAAAGCCUUUACAAAGACAUGGUGGGAGGCUUGAACACAAUGAGACAUAUUGCGGUUCAUGCUAUGGUGCGGAAGUGGGUUUGGAUGGCCACGAAGAGGUGGAAGGCACUUCAAAUUUCAAGCAUAGGAGAUGACUCUGAUGUUGCUAUUUGUGAUGUUUUGCUGCUGGUUGUGUUUCACAAUCUGCUGAAUGUUUUGUUUUUAGUUUAUGUUCUAGUCCAUUUGUAGUAAAACUUGGGGCUUUUGGAGUCAACAUGUGGAGAUGAGUGCAUUUCGAUUGUUGUAAAAUUUGAGUAGCAUUUGGAGAUAAAUGCACUUGGAUUCUUGUAGAAUUUAAUAUCUAGUUCAUUUUCUGUGUGCAAUGCUUGCCUGCUAAGAGGCAAUUCUUCUAAUUUGAGGCAAAGUC